UUUUAUUUGAGAGUUUGAUCCUGGCUCAGGAUGAACGCUGGCGGCGUGCCUAACACAUGCAAGUUGAGCGAUUUACUUCGGUAAAGAGCGGCGGACGGGUGAGUAACGCGUGGGUAACCUACCCUGUACACACGGAUAACAUACCGAAAGGUAUGCUAAUACGGGAUAAUAUAUUUGAGAGGCAUCUCUUAGAUAUCAAAGGUGAGCCAGUACAGGAUGGACCCGCGUCUGAUUAGCUAGUUGGUAAGGUAACGGCUUACCAAGGCGACGAUCAGUAGCCGACCUGAGAGGGUGAUCGGCCACAUUGGAACUGAGACACGGUCCAAACUCCUACGGGAGGCAGCAGUGGGGAAUAUUGCACAAUGGGCGAAAGCCUGAUGCAGCAACGCCGCGUGAGUGAUGAAGGCCUUCGGGUCGUAAAACUCUGUCCUCAAGGAAGAUAAUGACGGUACUUGAGGAGGAAGCCCCGGCUAACUACGUGCCAGCAGCCGCGGUAAUACGUAGGGGGCUAGCGUUAUCCGGAUU
RNAcentral lists this ribosomal RNA (525 nucleotides) under Clostridioides difficile. Its description in RNAcentral is "bacterial SSU rRNA". It matches the Rfam family "Bacterial small subunit ribosomal RNA", at positions 1 to 551 of the family's 1533-position model. The record is from RNAcentral. Lineage: Bacteria; Bacillati; Bacillota; Clostridia; Peptostreptococcales; Peptostreptococcaceae.